GUGUCAGCCGCCGCGGUAACACGGGGGGAGCAAACGUUGUUCGGAAUCACUGGGCGUAAAGGGCGCGUAGGCGGCCCCGUAAGUGGUGUGUGAAAUGCCCUGGCUCAACCAGGGAAUAGCGCUCCAAACUGCGGGGAUUGAGGACAGUAGAGGAAGCUGGAAUUCCAGGUGUAGCGGUGAAAUGCGUAGAUAUCUGGAGGAACACCGUUGGCGAAGGCGAGCUUCUGGGCUGUUCCUGACGCUGAAGCGCGAAAGCUGGGGGAGCAAACAGGAUUAGAAACCCUUGUAGUCC
RNAcentral lists this ribosomal RNA (292 nucleotides) under uncultured bacterium. RNAcentral describes it as "partial 16S ribosomal RNA". It matches the Rfam family "Bacterial small subunit ribosomal RNA", at positions 505 to 796 of the family's 1533-position model. The record is from RNAcentral.